This 377-nucleotide ribosomal RNA is filed under the name uncultured bacterium. Its description in RNAcentral is "bacterial SSU rRNA". It matches the Rfam family "Bacterial small subunit ribosomal RNA", at positions 521 to 896 of the family's 1533-position model. The record is from RNAcentral.
UAAUACGUAGGGUGCAAGCGUUGUCCGGAAUUAUUGGGCGUAAAGAGUUCGUAGGCGGUCUGUCGCGUCCGUUGUGAAAGCUUGGGGCUCAACCCCAAGUCUGCAGUGGAUACGGGCAGACUAGAGUCAGGUAGGGGAGAACGGAAUUCCUGGUGUAGCGGUGAAAUGCGCAGAUAUCAGGAGGAACACCGGUGGCGAAGGCGGUUCUCUGGGCCUGUACUGACGCUGAGGAACGAAAGCGUGGGGAGCGAACAGGAUUAGAUACCCUGGUAGUCCACGCCGUAAACGGUGGGCGCUAGAUGUGGGGACCUUCCACGGUUUCUGCGUCGCAGCUAACGCAUUAAGCGCCCCGCCUGGGGAGUACGGUCGCAAGACUA